This 1651-nucleotide long non-coding RNA is filed under the name Bos grunniens (domestic yak). RNAcentral's name for it is "lncRNA (ENSBGRG00000002212.1)". The record is from RNAcentral. Lineage: Eukaryota; Metazoa; Chordata; Mammalia; Artiodactyla; Bovidae.
UGCAGAGUUCAUCCCAGACAUCCACGCCACCACAGCCACUUUAUCACACACCCAAACACAAAGAUUUGGGUGAAUGCUCUCAGUAAAAAUUAUGAGCUGAUACGGUGGAGGUGGGGAGGGGAGGGAAGUUCACCUGUUCAAAAAAUAUUUUCUGAGAGGUUAUUAUGGGUCAGGCAAUCUAUUCUGAGUAAAGCAGCUAUUUUGCAUAGAAAUAAACCAAUCUUCUUAAGAGGUUCAAGAACUGUUGUGCACUUUGGUUGGCGAGUCCUGAAAGCUUUUGUAACAUCACAUCUUUCUCGUGUUUGUAGACACUUUAUUUCUUUCCUUGAAUCGGGGAGAGGGAAAGGAGACAGGCAGAGACAGACAUACAGAAAGGGAAUCACCUUCGUAACGUUUUCAGAAACAAGAGGUCUGAGUAGGAAGAAGGCAGGACCGGGCGAGUGCGACUUGGCGUGGGACCUGAACUUGGGAUUUCAGCCUGAAACCUCCGGCCAGGGCUUUCGCGGUCUCAAGACUCGGGACCCGGACACCCGCCCCUUGCACCGCCCACUGCACGCCUCCACUCGGGACCGGCUCCCGCUCAGCUCCCUGCCCACCCAGCCCUGCCUCCCGGGGUCCACCUGGAGCGCCAGAGCUAGGGCUCGAUCCCCGGAAUCAACCGCUCAGCCUGGGCUCUCCAGAUCCCCUGGGCUGCAUCUCGUCCUGGAACCGUAGCUGCUCCCACUAACCUUUGGAAGAGAGAAAAAACUGUUCCAGACCUUUCUGUGUACCUCAGGUGUGGGAGGAAAGGACAUGAGCUUGUGUUAGAAGGUGUAGACAUUAGGUUCCUCAAGGAGAAAGACUGAUCCGAGAACUCUGAGCCCUUCAGCCCCCACUAAACCCCAGCCGCCGGCAUUGGUCCUUGGGGAAGUGGCCGCCAGGAGGGUCGGUGCGUCGGACUGGUAACAUGGCCGAGGCAGCGCUAGACGCCGAGCUCGCUAUAGGCUCUCUCUCCCAGGAUCGGAUAGAUGAUUCAUUUUUAUAUGUAAUGUUUUACUCCACUCUAUAGCUCCGACUGGUUAAUGUUCAACCCCGGGGCUUGGAGGGGCAGCUUGGAGGGAGGCAGCCAGGGAAGACCCAUUCAAGGUAUAUGGCCGCUUGGGAGCGAAGGCGAAGAAGCCCCAGAGAGGGUGAGGGGGAUGCGGUGGGGCGGGGUUGGGGGUCUCCUCCUGCCAGGGCCUCCCUAAGCGGAUUCCCAGAGGGCAGAGAAGCAGGCGGAUCCGCGGUCAGAGCCCAGCGCGUCCCUGGAAGCGCAGCCGGGAGGCCGCGCCCUGGCCGGGCCCCGACCGCCCACGACGCCGCCGCCCAGGCCCUGAGCGGCGCGUGCAGGGGCGGCAGGCGCUUCGGCCCAGCGGGACUCUAAGGGCAGGCUGUGGCGCCCUGGCCGCCUGGGUCCGACGCUCGCCCGGGGCGGCAGGCAGACGAGGCACGCCGCGGGAGGCGGGGGGGAGGGGGGCGGGCGGCGGCAGCUGCGGAUUAGAUUCCAGUUUUGUUGUCCGGAGGGACCCGAGAAGAGUCCCCGGAGGUGCGUAGGUUGCCCUCUGGGCCGCCGCUUCUCCGGGUGCCUCUGAAAAUACCGUCAGGGUCAUGCGAGGCGGCACGUCUGGCCACC